Molecule: unclassified non-coding RNA, 116 nt
Filed under: uncultured Ascomycota
Lineage: Eukaryota; Fungi; Ascomycota
Description: sequence contains ITS1
Source: RNAcentral
UUGAAUGGGGCCCUUUGGCCACCUUCUUCCAAACCUGUGGAAAUGAGAAGUGCUUUGGUGCCUUGUGUGCCAAGUCCAUGCAAAUUAGCCUUGUGUCUGAUUGGAAACAAAUUUUA